UGCCAGCAGCCGCGGUAAUUCCAGCUCCAAUAGCGUAUAUUAAAGUUGUUGCAGUUAAAAAGCUCGUAGUUGAAUUUCGGGAUCAAUAUGUCGGUCGUGCCAUUGGUACGUACUGGUAUCAUUGAUUUCUCCUUUCUGACGAACCAUGAUGUCAUUAAUUUGGUGUUAUGGGGAGUUAGGACUGUUACUUUGAAAAAAUUAGAGUGUUUAAAGCAGGCAUUAGCUUGAAUACAUUAGCAUGGAAUAAUGAAAUAGGACGUUUGACCCUAUUUUGUUGGUUUCUAGGAUCGACGUAAUGAUUAAUAGGGAUAGUUGGGGGCAUUAGUAUUCAAUUGUCAGAGGUGAAAUUCUUGGAUUUAUUGAAGACUAACUACUGCGAAAGCAUUUGCCAAGGAUGUUUUCAUUAAUCAAGAACGAAAGUUAGGGGAUCGAAGACGAUCAGAUACCGUCGUAGUCUUAACCAUAAACCAUGCCGACUAGGGAUCGGAUGAUGUUAAUUUUUUAAUGACUCA
RNAcentral lists this ribosomal RNA (512 nucleotides) under uncultured Glomus. Its description in RNAcentral is "SSU rRNA". It matches the Rfam family "Eukaryotic small subunit ribosomal RNA", at positions 565 to 1078 of the family's 1831-position model. Lineage: Eukaryota; Fungi; Glomeromycota; Glomeromycetes; Glomerales; Glomeraceae. The record is from RNAcentral.